This 468-nucleotide ribosomal RNA is filed under the name uncultured bacterium. RNAcentral describes it as "partial 16S ribosomal RNA". It matches the Rfam family "Bacterial small subunit ribosomal RNA", at positions 28 to 507 of the family's 1533-position model. The record is from RNAcentral.
GAUGAACGCUGGCGGCGUGCUUAACACAUGCAAGUCGAACGGAAAGGCCCUGCUUUUGUGGGGUGCUCGAGUGGCGAACGGGUGAGUAACACGUGAGUAACCUGCCCUUGACUUUGGGAUAACUUCAGGAAACUGGGGCUAAUACCGGAUAGGAGCUCCUGCUGCAUGGUGGGGGUUGGAAAGUUUCGGCGGUUGGGGAUGGACUCGCGGCUUAUCAGCUUGUUGGUGGGGUAGUGGCUUACCAAGGCUUUGACGGGUAGCCGGCCUGAGAGGGUGACCGGCCACAUUGGGACUGAGAUACGGCCCAGACUCCUACGGGAGGCAGCAGUGGGGAAUAUUGCACAAUGGGCGGUAGCCUGAUGCAGCAACGCCGCGUGCGGGAUGACGGCCUUCGGGUUGUAAACCGCUUUCGCCUGUGACGAAGCGUGAGUGACGGUAAUGGGUAAAGAAGCACCGGCUAACUACGUG